CGGCGUGCCUAAUACAUGCAAGUCGAACGAACUCUGGUAUUGAUUGGUGCUUGCAUCAUGAUUUACAUUUGAGUGAGUGGCGAACUGGUGAGUAACACGUGGGAAACCUGCCCAGAAGCGGGGGAUAACACCUGGAAACAGAUGCUAAUACCGCAUAACAACUUGGACCGCAUGGUCCGAGCUUGAAAGAUGGCUUCGGCUAUCACUUCUGGAUGGUCCCGCGGCGUAUUAGCUAGAUGGUGGGGUAACGGCUCACCAUGGCAAUGAUACGUAGCCGACCUGAGAGGGUAAUCGGCCACAUUGGGACUGAGACACGGCCCAAACUCCUACGGGAGGCAGCAGUAGGGAAUCUUCCACAAUGGACGAAAGUCUGAUGGAGCAACGCCGCGUGAGUGAAGAAGGGUUUCGGCUCGUAAAACUCUGUUGUUAAAGAAGAACAUAUCUGAGAGUAACUGUUCAGGUAUUGACGGUAUUUAACCAGAAAGCCACGGCUAACUACGUGCCAGCAGCCGCGGUAAUACGUAGGUGGCAAGCGUUGUCCGGAUUUAUUGGGCGUAAAGCGAGCGCAGGCGGUUUUUUAAGUCUGAUGUGAAAGCCUUCGGCUCAACCGAAGAAGUGCAUCGGAAACUGGGAAACUUGAGUGCAGAAGAGGACAGUGGAACUCCAUGUGUAGCGGUGAAAUGCGUAGAUAUAUGGAAGAACACCAGUGGCGAAGGCGGCUGUCUGGUCUGUAACUGACGCUGAGGCUCGAAAGUAUGGGUAGCAAACAGGAUUAGAUACCCUGGUAGUCCAUACCGUAAACGAUGAAUGCUAAGUGUUGGAGGGUUUCCGCCCUUCAGUGCUGCAGCUAACGCAUUAAGCAUUCCGCCUGGGGAGUACGGCCGCAAGGCUGAAACUCAAAGGAAUUGACGGGGGCCCGCACAAGCGGUGGAGCAUGUGGUUUAAUUCGAAGCUACGCGAAGAACCUUACCAGGUCUUGACCUACUAUGCAAAUCUAAGAGAUUAGACGUUCCCUUCGGGGACAUGGAUACAGGUGGUGCAUGGUUGUCGUCAGCUCGUGUCGUGAGAUGUUGGGUUAAGUCCCGCAACGAGCGCAACCCUUAUUAUCAGUUGCCAGCAUUAAGUUGGGCACUCUGGUGAGACUGCCGGUGACAAACCGGAGGAAGGUGGGGAUGACGUCAAAUCAUCAUGCCCCUUAUGACCUGGGCUACACACGUGCUACAAUGGAUGGUACAACGAGUUGCGAACUCGCGAGAGUAAGCUAAUCUCUUAAAGCCAUUCUCAGUUCGGAUUGUAGGCUGCAACUCGCCUACAUGAAGUCGGAAUCGCUAGUAAUCGCGGAUCAGCAUGCCGCGGUGAAUACGUUCCCGGGCCUUGUACACACCGCCCGUCACACCAUGAGAGUUUGUAACACCCAAAGUCGGUGGGGUAACCUUUUAGGAACCAGCCGCCUAAGGUGGGACAGAUGAUUAGGGUGAAGUCGUAACAAGGUAGCC
RNAcentral lists this ribosomal RNA (1496 nucleotides) under Lactiplantibacillus plantarum. RNAcentral's name for it is "Lactobacillus plantarum 16S ribosomal RNA". It matches the Rfam family "Bacterial small subunit ribosomal RNA". Lineage: Bacteria; Bacillati; Bacillota; Bacilli; Lactobacillales; Lactobacillaceae. The record is from RNAcentral.